GUAGCAGAAUAGUUUGUUCUUUAAUUGGGAGUUGGUAUGAAGGGUUACACAAAAAAUAUCUUUUAAAUUAAAUUAAGUAAAUUAAGGUUUAAGUUAAAAUGCUUAAAUAACGUAAAGGGACGAUAAGACCCUAAAAGCUUUAUUUAUUAGGUAUUGGAUUAACUUUAUAGUAAAAUUAGAUAAAUAGUAAAAUUAGCUGGGGAAGUGGUUUUAAAGAAUUAAAAUUUAAGAAUGCUUAAUCUUAGGAUAGAAGGUCUUAUAUAUAGGAAUUAUUGGAUAAAGUUACUUUAGGGAUAACAGCGCAAUAAUUUUGGAGAGUUCUUAUUUAUAAUAUUAUGUGCGACCUCGAUGUUGAAUUAAAAUGUCUUAAGGGAGUAGAAGAUCUAUAGGAGGGUUUGUUCAACCUUUAAAUUUUU
RNAcentral lists this ribosomal RNA (416 nucleotides) under Pseudocrangonyx sp. 1 SY-2020. Its description in RNAcentral is "partial 16S ribosomal RNA". Lineage: Eukaryota; Metazoa; Arthropoda; Malacostraca; Amphipoda; Pseudocrangonyctidae. The record is from RNAcentral.